UAAAAUCAUACCACAUUAAAAACCCUGAACAUAUUUUGAAUGAAAUUACUGAUUUUAACAAUUAUAAUAGAUAUUUUACACCUUUCGUAUAAUUUCAAACUCACCACUCUUGCAUUUGGUUUGUCACAUCCUGAUACCAAUUUUUAUUUUCUUAAGUUGUCAUAUUACUUACUUCCUCUUUUAACUGAUCUCAGUCCGUUGUAACCAGUCGAUAUGUGCAUACGACUCAAGUUUUUCGGUAACACUUAACGUUAUAAUACGCUUUCAAUAAUAUUAAUACCCUUUUUCUUUUAGAUUUUUAACGAUAAAUUCCCUUUUUAUAACACGCCUUCAGCUUUCACAGUUUCUUUUACGCCUGCCUUCAGCAUUUCAAAACUUUAUUAACCUAUCACCCGACGUUGGAGUUUUUAACCUGACAUGGUAAACCCACGCCGUUUUCAAAAAUUUCACUUUUUUCUUUAAUCCAAAAUUAUAUUUUUAAUCAUCGGUCCGUCGUAGUUUUUUGUAAGAGAAAUUUUUCCACAUGAUCAUUUUUUCACGUGUUCAUCAUUCUUAGUUUUUGACGUCGUACCUGAAGACGCUUUUAGAAAAAGCGAAACAUUGUUGUACCGAAAUUAGAAAAAAAUAAUAAAUAAUCAUCGUGGA
Long non-coding RNA from Onthophagus taurus, 645 nucleotides. RefSeq lists it as uncharacterized. Lineage: Eukaryota; Metazoa; Arthropoda; Insecta; Coleoptera; Scarabaeidae. The record is from RefSeq and is a predicted model, not a curated record.